AAGCAAUAUCUGACCUUGUAGGGUUUUUCCUGGCUUGGGAAGGACUUCUUCAAAGUCAUCUCAUCCCCUGCUGCCUGCAGGACAGGCCCACCUGUAAACGGAGGUUGCUGGCAUCCUGUGCGGCUCAGGCACCUGUCUCUCGGCCCCAUCUGCGUCCAUCGGGAAGAUGAGAAAAUCCAGGACUGAACCCAGGACCUCCACCCCGGGCCUCCCACAUGCCUCUCUACAAGCACUCUGCCAUUGAGCCACAACCCCAGCCUUUUGUUUUUCUUUUGAGACAGUGUCUAAGUUACUCAGGCUGGCCUCAAACUUGGGAUCCUCCUGCCUUAGCCUCCGGAAUCACUAGAAUGACAGGGACCCAGUUUCUAUUCUUUUUUUUUUUUUAAUUAAA
Molecule: long non-coding RNA, 391 nt
Organism: Marmota flaviventris (yellow-bellied marmot)
Lineage: Eukaryota; Metazoa; Chordata; Mammalia; Rodentia; Sciuridae
Source: RefSeq, a predicted model, not a curated record